RNAcentral lists this ribosomal RNA (507 nucleotides) under Burkholderia lata. Its description in RNAcentral is "bacterial SSU rRNA". It matches the Rfam family "Bacterial small subunit ribosomal RNA", at positions 155 to 657 of the family's 1533-position model. Lineage: Bacteria; Pseudomonadati; Pseudomonadota; Betaproteobacteria; Burkholderiales; Burkholderiaceae. The record is from RNAcentral.
AAGCCGGAUUAAUACCGCAUACGAUCUACGGAUGAAAGCGGGGGACCUUCGGGCCUCGCGCUAUAGGGUUGGCCGAUGGCUGAUUAGCUAGUUGGUGGGGUAAAGGCCUACCAAGGCGACGAUCAGUACCUGGUCUGAGAGGACGACCAGCCACACUGGGACUGAGACACGGCCCAGACUCCUACGGGAGGCAGCAGUGGGGAAUUUUGGACAAUGGGCGAAAGCCUGAUCCAUCAAUGCCGCGUGUGUGAAGAAGGCCUUCGGGUUGUAAAGCACUUUUGUCCGGAAAGAAAUCCUUGGCUCUAAUACAGUCGGGGGAUGACGGUACCGGAAGAAUAAGCACCGGCUAACUACGUGCCAGCAACCGCGGUAAUACGUAGGGUGGGAGCGUUACUCGGAAUUACUGGGCGUAAAGCGUGCGCACGCGGUUUGCUAAGACCGAUGUGAAAUCCCCGGGCUCAACCUGGGAACUGCAUUGGUGACUGGCAGGCUAGAGUAUGGCAGAGG